Molecule: non-coding RNA, 1320 nt
Organism: Schizosaccharomyces pombe (fission yeast)
Lineage: Eukaryota; Fungi; Ascomycota; Schizosaccharomycetes; Schizosaccharomycetales; Schizosaccharomycetaceae
Source: the annotation of a GenBank genome assembly
AUUGGGGGAUUGAUUCUACGACGCCAGAAAACUCCAUUGGCCAAAGAAUUGCGCAUUGAGCAUCAAUUUUUCUUUCUGCGUCCUCCCAAAAGGAACAAGGGUAGACGGUAGAAGAGGCACUUUCAUACAGUUGUUCCAUUUCACGAUUACACUCAUGCUGUUCUUCGUGCUCGGGAAAUUGUAGCAUUGUCUCACCACUGGAUAAAGAUACGUCGUUUACUGAAUUAGAAUUUAUAUCUUCAUCAGUACCAUCUUCACGUGCAGCGUUCUGAAGGUGAACGGUUGACUCGUUUUCCAACUUCACUGCACAAUUGCAUUUACAAGUCUGAGAAACACCUCUCGAUGAAAUCAGACGUUCGUGUAAAAUAAACGUGAGUCGUUUGAUGCUCCAGUCCCAUUCACUGCUGACAAUUAGCACCAGCUCUUGCGAACUUCGAAGUAAUACAUUUGAAGCUAAAUGAUAUAAUAGCUCGGUCUUUCCAGAACAAGAAUUUCCUUCAAUGACAAGUAAAGUACCAUUCACUGAUCCACUAUAAAGGACUUUUUCAAUAUGAUCAUCAUAGACGAGACCUUUCUGCUCUUUAAAACUUUCAAUCUGGCUUUUCCUCUUUAGUUCAGCAACCCAUUCAGCUGCGUUCAUUUAGACUGUAAAGAUGAUUAUUAUUAACGCUCUUGCAAAAAAUUUUAACAUUUACACUCUACUUUCCUUAGUGUAAAUGAAACAACCCCUAACAACGACAAUUCAUGCAGUCACGUCCAACAAUGAAUAUCAAAAUAGCUAUACCAUAAUAAGAACAGUGAGCACUCAAACCAAUAUUCAAUGGCUUCAGUGUUUUUCAAAUCCGAAGAAGCAAGUGAAAGAGGAUGUGCAGAGGUAAUACUUGAAGACUACACAUAAUGAGCCCUAUGAAUUAACCCACAUGUGAGUUCAACCUAAAGUUCAUCAGAUAUACAAUUACUGCUAACCGAAUGCUAAAAAGAAAAUAUCUUUAGGUCAAACAAUACCAACAACGUGCAAUUGUUCUUUAAACUUUCCAUUUACUGAAUAUACAGACUAUUUUUACACUCUAACAAUAACAGGAUUUCUAAAAAAACAUCUAAUUUUAUAUCAUCCACAUGCCUAGAACAAAAUUUUAUUCAAUAAUCAAGACAUGCAAGAUAUGAACAAGACCUUUUAGUUCUUUCUUCUGAAAGAGCAUCCCUCCAUAAGACGAGCCUUACCACCAGUAGGUUGGCAAAGGACAGAGGCACAAGAACCGCAAAUAACAACGGUUUGAGCAUGAGAGAAAACUGUGGUGAUGUUGAAGCAUCCAGGGCACU